Molecule: RNA transcript, 3057 nt
Organism: Triticum dicoccoides
Lineage: Eukaryota; Viridiplantae; Streptophyta; Magnoliopsida; Poales; Poaceae
Gene name: putative F-box/FBD/LRR-repeat protein At4g03220
Exons: 4
Source: RefSeq, a predicted model, not a curated record
CCCCUGCCUCGCCUCCCCUGCACACGCGCCUCACACCCGAGGCCAUGGCCACUCCGCUCCCGGGCGCCCGCUUCGCCGCGUACCGCGCUGCUCUGCCCGCUACUAGCAAGCACACCGGCGGCCCCCUCGCUCCGCCUUGUCUCCUCGCUCGUGCGCCACCAGGGGUGGAGCCCCUCGCGCCCGGGGCGGCGCCCUGCUGCAGCAGCUUUGCCUGAUGGCUUCCUCCCCCAGCGGGCCACCGCGCCGUGGCCGCUGCCUCCUCCCCUCCGCAGCGCUCGCGUCCGCGCCCGCCCCGCCAGCGCCUCCUGCCUGCCUCUUGCCGAGCGCUGGAGCGGGCGGCCAGGCUGCUGGCGCUCUACGGCGCGAGCAUCGUGGAGUACACGAGCUAGGCGGACGCGAUGACCAUCCCGGGGCACUACGUGGUGUACUGGGAGCUGAGUUCAAGGACAGCCGCGAGGGGCCGUGGUCGGAGGCGGCGGUGUUCGAGCGGUGUUGCCUGGAGAUGGAGGUGGCGUACGGCUUCUACGAUGAGCUGCCCCGUCAGGCUCCGGUGCCGGCCAAUUCGACGGCGCACUCAACGUGUUUGAGGAAAUGAGGCCGUCGGCGUCAAGCCAAACUAGGUCGAUAUUAAGUGUACUUGUUAACUUCUAGUCAUAUGCAUGUAUGCAACCAAACGCUGGGUGAAAAUUGCAUCUCGAUGACAAAACCUCCUAAUGCAGGCAACCAAUCGAGUUUGACAUCUACGUUUUUGGCUUCGUUUUCUCUCACCCAGGACCUGCUCAGUCUGCCUCGUUUUUUUCCUCUGAGCCAGGCCCGGCAGUGAAAGCAACCAAACACGCCCUUGGUCAACAGGUUAUGACCGGUUUUCGCUAAUUGACGGGGUGACUCUGUUGGCCUUAAUUCAUUUCUUAUGAAAGUGAAAAGUCUUUCACCUUGUUUAUUAACAGAAAAUACCCAAAUUCUCAAAAAAGAAAAAAGAAAAAAGGUGGCAUCCAAAUACCCUAGCCCCCAAAUCGAGCUCGCAGCAGUUGCGAGUGGGGAUUCCUCCGCCGGCAUCCGGCAUCCGGCGUCUCCGGUCCAUUCCCCAUUCCCCCGCCACCUGCAAUUCCAUGGGGGCGGGUCACAGCGUCGGGCGUCGGGAUUCCGACGCCGGAGCAGGCGGCGAGGACCGCCUCAGCGCGCUUCCAGACGACGUGCUCGUCAGCAUCCUCGUCAAGCUCCGCGACGCCGCGGCCGCCGCCCGGGCCAGCGUCCUCGCCCGCCGGUGGCGCUCCCUCUGGCCCCUCCUCCCGGAGCUCGCCUUCGCCGACGGCAUCCAGCACCACCGCAUAGUCCCCGCCCUCGCCGCCCACGAAGCGCUGGACCUCCGCGACAUCCAGGUUGCCACCCGAGAGGCCUCCGUCGAGUACCUGGCGGUCUGGCUCCCCAUCGCCGCGCGCCGCCUCUCCGGCUCCAUGCACCUCCGGGUGGUGUGGCACGAGGGCGAGGCCGAGGUCCGGGCGGCGCUGGAGCCCGAACAGAGAGGGGCCAUCCUGCUCCCUUGCUUCCGGCGAGCCACCUCCGUCGUACUCGAGUUCUCGUUUCUCCGCCUCGUCCUGCCGCCAUCCGGGGUGUUCGCCCGGCUCCAAAUCCUCAUGCUGGUCGGCAUCCUCGUGUACGGGCAGUGCAGCCUCGGCGACGCCGUCUCUUCCCCGCGCUGCCCAUGCUUGAAGGUUCUCUUCGUCCAGAGCGCCCGCGGUCUGGGCAGCUUCAGGAUCCACUUCAGGUCCCUCCUGCAGCUGCAGCUGUCGGAUCUGCGCGACAUGCAGCAGCUCACCGUCGUCGCGCCGUUGCUCCAGUUCUUGAGAGUGAGAUGGUGCUUUACCAAUGUAGCAUAUGCACUGAAUCCAAGUCAACCAGUAGCCAGGAUCUCAGCCCCUCUCCUGGAGAAGCUCGAAUGGAUGUGUGAUUUCGUUCCUAGCUCUGUCCAGCUUGGUGAGAUGCCACCACAUCUCCGACGCCUUGUCGCUGGAAUCAUCAUGGUAUAUGGAUCAGAUUGCAUUGCUCCACACAACCGUUGUUGCAUUGGCAUUCUGCAGCGCUCUGAGCGUCUCGCUGCUCUCCGCCUCUGCCUUGCCUAUCCGCCGGUCAUAGGUAACUACAAAUACUUGACGGAAGACAUGACAAGGCUCCCCGACGUUGACUACUUGACCCUAGAUAUAUUUUCAUGUGGACAUUCCUUUGGACCCAGCUCAUUCCAUCUUCUCAGGAUGUGCUCUCGUUUGACAAUACUCAAGAUCAGAUUUUCUUGCCAACUGCCGGUAAUGCACUCCUUAAUUUUUUUUAAUCUGAUGAUACUUCAGUUACCAGAAAGUCGCAUAAAGAAAUAUGUCAAUGCAUAUUUGUUUUUCUAAUUAAGCACCAAUUAGCCUUGAGCUGCUAGUUUCACCGCUCUUCAUUUUGGUUCGACACUGAUAAUAUGGUAUAAAGUUUAUCUGUGGUAACUAUAUGCCUUGUGCAUCUCCUAGUGACAACCAUUCACUUUUCGUGUUUUUCAGAAUUUGGCAGUACUAUUUUGGUUCAGAAAUGUGCAAUACUUCUUUGGUCGGCAACUUCGUAAUAGGUUUCACCUCAAAUGAUUGCCGGUUUCAUUCGAUACUGUUCCUCUUCUUCAGCAAAUUCAAGAUCUUCAUUUUCUUCAUUUUGGGUGGGGUAGGGUGUGUGGUGGGCAGGUGCAUAAUACACUGAAGGUUCAAGACAACAAUACUAAUACGUUCUUUCUACGACCUUUCUAUCUGCUAAUCCUACUUUCUGCAUUAUCUUGGCUUCGAAGUAUUUUCCUGCAUUUCAUCAUUUUCAGCUUUAUCUCCCUUGUUUUACUUUUCAAGGACAAGCAAGAUCGCAUAAUCUUUGUAUUAUAGAAGAAAAGACUUGACGGCUGAACUGUAAAAUGCCACCAAGGCACAAACCGGUUGCUUCUCAGGUUGCAUAUGCGAUCAGCUACCAAACUGGAAAACCGAAGAACUCGGGCUGAUCUGGCUCGAAGAAGUACAGAUCUUGAGCUUUGCAGGAACUGAA